This 483-nucleotide ribosomal RNA is filed under the name uncultured bacterium. RNAcentral's name for it is "partial 16S ribosomal RNA". It matches the Rfam family "Bacterial small subunit ribosomal RNA", at positions 28 to 523 of the family's 1533-position model. The record is from RNAcentral.
GACGAACGCUGGCGGCGUGCUUAACACAUGCGAGUCGAACGAUGAAACCUAGCUUGCUAGGUCGAUUAGUGGCGAACGGGUGAGUAACACGUGAGUAAUCUGCCCCUGGCUUUGGGAUAGCCACCGGAAACGGUGAUUAAUACCGGAUACGACCACUUCUCGCAUGGGACGGUGGUGGAAAGUUUUUUCGGCCAGGGAUGUGCUCGCGGCCUAUCAGCUUGAUGGUGAGGUAAUGGCUCACCAUGGCUUCGACGGGUAGCCGGCCUGAGAGGGUGACCGGUCACACUGGGACUGAGACACGGCCCAGACUCCUACGGGAGGCAGCAGUGGGGAAUAUUGGACAAUGGGCGGAAGCCUGAUCCAGCAACGCCGCGUGAGGGAUGACGGCCUUCGGGUUGUAAACCUCUUUCAGCAGGGACGAAGCGCAAGUGACGGUACCUGCAGAAGAAGCACCGGCCAACUACGUGCCAGCCGCCGCCGUAA